AGGGGGCCUUCAUGUCCUUCUCUAGGGUUCAAUAUAUGUUCCAUUCUUCCUCUUUCUUCCUCAACUAGCUCUUUUCAGUCUGUCUUAAUCUUAUUAAAAAAAGGAGAGAGAUUGAGGAGUUUUUGUUUAGCGGGUGAAAAUGCCUUCUUCAGAUAAUCGUGGUUCUUCGAUGCCAUUUGCCUCAUUCCGUCGUUCAAUUAUGAGUAUAAGAAGUGAACAGGUUCAUUCCGUGGAAUUGAAUCAUGAUUCUACUGUUCAGGAGAUUGAGCAGGGAGUAUUUCAGAAUCUAGUGGCUACUCGAUUUCAGGAACUGUCGGUUGCCUCUGGUGAUGAAUUCCUUUCCAUUGCAUGGGUUCGAAAGUUAUUAGAUGUGUUUAACAGUUGUCAGGAAGAGUUCAGAAUCGUGUUGAGCAACAAUAAGGAACUCCUCGUGAAAUCGCCUCAAGAUAAGCUUUUGUCUGACUACUUCGAUAGAACUAUAAAAGCACUUGAUAUUUGCAAUGCUGCCCGUGAUGGAACUGGGAAGAUUCGACUCUGGCAGAAGCAUUUGGAAAUUGUGGUUUCUUCAUUGGAUUCUCGACAAAAUAUGAUUGGCGAUGGUCAGCUCCGUCGAACUAGAAAGAGUCUGAUGGAUUUGGCUAUUGUGAUGCUAGAAGAGAAAGAAACUGGAACAGUUCUUUCCCAGAGGAACCGUUCUUUUGGACGCCAUAAUAAAACCAAGGAUCACCAGCGUCGUCCUUCUGGGCACUCAAGGUCUCUAUCUUGGAGUGUAUCUCAAUCUUGGUCAGCAUCUAAACAGCUCCAAUCAAUUGCAAGCCACUUGGUUCCUCCCCGUGGACAUGAAAUAGCUGCAACAAAUGGAAUAGCAAACCUUGUCUUUACAAUGAACUUUGUUCUCCUGUUUGUACUGUGGGCUCUUGUUGCUGCAGUCCCUUGUCAAGAUCGAAGCCUCCAAAUUCAUUUUUCUAUCCCAAGGCAGUUCUCAUGGAGCAAUGCCCUUUGGUUGCUUCAUGGUAGGAUAAUGGAUGAAGCUAAGAAGCCAGAGCGCCGUAAUUCAAAUGGAUUGUUGAAAGAAAUAUAUAAGUUAGAAAAAUGUGUCCAUCACUUGACGGACUUGAUAGACUCUGCUCAAUUACCAUUGACCAAGGAUCUGAUGGAAGAAAUAGAAAAGGGUGGAAAAGAUUUAUCAGCUGUCUCUGAAGUUCUCAAGACUGGCCUUACUCCACUAGAACGCAAUUUAAAGGAAGUAUUCAGAAAAAUUAUGAGUUGCCGGGCAGAGGGUCUUGAACUCCUGGGAAGCGCAAAUCAGCCUUAGAAUAUAUGUCGUCUUCAAGUUCUAACAAAAUGAAAAAAAAAAACAUAUAUACAUUCCUAUUUUGGUUUUGCUGGUAUUAAAGAAGUAAAAAAGGAAACAAAUGUAGCAACUGUGGUUUUAGCAGGUAACUGUUUGUAUGCAUUACUAUACCUUAUGUAAAACUAGUUUCCAUUUUCAUGU
RNAcentral lists this unclassified non-coding RNA (1495 nucleotides) under Hevea brasiliensis (rubber tree). The record is from RNAcentral. Lineage: Eukaryota; Viridiplantae; Streptophyta; Magnoliopsida; Malpighiales; Euphorbiaceae.